RNAcentral lists this ribosomal RNA (355 nucleotides) under uncultured bacterium. RNAcentral's name for it is "bacterial SSU rRNA". It matches the Rfam family "Bacterial small subunit ribosomal RNA", at positions 527 to 881 of the family's 1533-position model. The record is from RNAcentral.
GUAGGGGGCUAGCGUUAUCCGGAAUNACUGGGCGUAAAGGGUGCGUAGGUGGUNUCUUAAGUCAGAGGUGAAAGGCUACGGCUCAACCGUAGUAAGCCUNUGAAACUGGGAAACUUGAGUGCAGGAGAGGAGAGUGGAAUNCCUAGUGUAGCGGUGAAAUGCGUAGAUAUUAGGAGGAACACCAGUNGCGAAGGCGGCUCUCUGGACUGUAACUGACGCUGAGGCGCGAAAGCGUGGGGAGCAAACAGGAUUAGAUACCCUGGUAGUCCACGCCGUAAACGAUGGAUACUAGGUGUGGGAGGUAUUGACCCCUUCCGUGCCGCAGUUAACACAAUAAGUAUUCCACCUGGGGAGU